CCUACGGGAGGCAGCAGUAGGGAAUAUUGCUCAAUGGGGGAAACCCUGAAGCUGCAACGCCGCGUGGAGGAUGAAGGUUUUCGGAUUGUAAACUCCUUUUGUUAGAGAAGAUAAUGACGGUAUCUAACGAAUAAGCACCGGCUAACUCUGUGCCAGCAGCCGCGGUAAUACGGAGGGUGCAAGCGUUACUCGGAAUCACUGGGCGUAAAGAGCGCGUAGGCGGGAUAGCAAGUCAGAUGUGAAAUCCUAUGGCUUAACCAUAGAACUGCAUUUGAAACUGUUAUUCUAGAGUAUGGGAGAGGUAGGUGGAAUUCUUGGUGUAGGGGUAAAAUGCGUAGAGAUCGAGAGGAAUACUCAUUGCGAAGGCGAGCUGCUGGAAAAUAACUGACGCUGAUGCGCGAAAGCGUGGGGAGCAAACAGGAUUAGAUACCCUUGUAGUC
This 440-nucleotide ribosomal RNA is filed under the name uncultured bacterium. Its description in RNAcentral is "partial 16S ribosomal RNA". It matches the Rfam family "Bacterial small subunit ribosomal RNA", at positions 338 to 795 of the family's 1533-position model. The record is from RNAcentral.